AACGAACGCUGGCGGCAGGCCUAACACAUGCAAGUCGAACGCCGUAGCAAUACGGAGUGGCAGACGGGUGAGUAACGCGUGGGAACAUACCCCUCGGUUCGGAAUAACUCAGGGAAACUUGAGCUAAUACCGGAUACGUCCGAGGUUUUAACCGACCUUGGAGAAAGAUUUAUCGCCGGAGGAUUGGCCCGCGUCUGAUUAGCUUGUUGGUGAGGUAAUGGCUCACCAAGGCGACGAUCAGAGCUGGUCUGAGAGGAUGAUCAGCCACAUUGGGACUGAGACACGGCCCAAACUCCUACGGGAGGCAGCAGUAGGGAAUAUUGGACAAUGGGGCGAAAGCCUGAUCCAGCCAUGCCGCGUGAGUGAUGAAGGCCUUAGGGUUGUAAAGCUCUCUUACCCGGGAAGAUAAUGACGGUACCGGGAGAAUAAGCCCCGGCUAACUUCGUGCCAGCAGCCGCAGUAAU
This 464-nucleotide ribosomal RNA is filed under the name uncultured bacterium. Its description in RNAcentral is "bacterial SSU rRNA". It matches the Rfam family "Bacterial small subunit ribosomal RNA", at positions 29 to 524 of the family's 1533-position model. The record is from RNAcentral.